This 497-nucleotide ribosomal RNA is filed under the name uncultured bacterium. RNAcentral describes it as "partial 16S ribosomal RNA". It matches the Rfam family "Bacterial small subunit ribosomal RNA", at positions 28 to 507 of the family's 1533-position model. The record is from RNAcentral.
GAUGAACGCUGGCGGCGUGCCUAAUACAUGCAAGUCGAGCGAACGGACGAGAAGCUUGCUUCUCUGAUGUUAGCGGCGGACGGGUGAGUAACACGUGGAUAACCUUCCUAUAAGACUGGGAUAACUUCGGGAAACCGGAGCUAAUACCGGAUAAUAUUUUGAACCGCAUGGUUCAAAAGUGAAAGACGGUCUUGCUGUCACUUAUAGAUGUAUCCGCGCUGCAUUAGCUAGUUGGUAAGGUAACGGCUUACCAAGGCAACGAUGCAUAGCCGACCUGAGAGGGUGAUCGGCCACACUGGAACUGAGACACGGUCCAGACUCCUACGGGAGGCAGCAGUAGGGAAUCUUCCGCAAUGGGCGAAAGCCUGACGGAGCAACGCCGCGUGAGUGAUGAAGGUCUUCGGAUCGUAAAACUCUGUUAUUAGGGAAGAACAUAUGUGUAAGUAACUGUGCACAUCUUGACGGUACCUAAUCAGAAAGCCACGGCUAACUACGUG